This 522-nucleotide ribosomal RNA is filed under the name Triticum aestivum (bread wheat). RNAcentral describes it as "partial small subunit ribosomal RNA". Lineage: Eukaryota; Viridiplantae; Streptophyta; Magnoliopsida; Poales; Poaceae. The record is from RNAcentral.
AUGGAAGUCUGCAUGGUCGUUCAUGCCCCUGCAUCUCCGUCCGGCGCCUCUGCUGAACCACAAAACUCCCCCGGCCACCGCGAUUCCUCCCCAAAAUGCUCGGUAGAGAUGCACUUGAUGGAGCAACCAGAUUCCAUGGUUGAGUUUGCUCACCAUACUACGGAUGAAGAGAACGUGCAAGGCGACAACAUGGUUGAGUUUGUUCCAGAUACAAUUAAUCAGGAGGUAGAAGAGUCUCCUGAUGAAGAACGGAGCAGCGAUGUCUCAAUAACCGAUGUCGAUGAAGACUCUAUUGAGUACCUGCGUAGGCAAGUUGUCGAAGACUCCGAGGAAGAAGACAAGCAAGAGGAAGUAUACCAGAAGGUCCGGAAGGAAUUUAAUGAAAGACGUGCUAGUGAUGCUGCAUUGAGGAGGGAAGCAAGAGCCAGGAAUGCAUCUAGGCAUAAGAGUAAUCUGAACAAAAUACGUAGAGACUUUUUGCGAAUUUAUAUUCCUGACUACUACAAGAUGGUGGAAAAAUAA